GACGUAACCUCUGUUGUUCAUGACGAACGAGCUUUUUAUCAACAACGAAGAGCAGUGACGGUAGUGAACGAGGAAGCCACGGCUAACUACGUGCCAGCAGCCGCGGUAAUACGUAGGUGGCAAGCGUUGUCCGGAAUUAUUGGGCGUAAAGCGCAUGUAGGCGGUUUGGUAAGUCGGUCGUGAAAAUGCGGUGCUUAACGCCGUAUGGCGAUCGAAACUGCGGAACUUGAGUGCAGGAGAGGAAAGGGGAACUCCCAGUGUAGCGGUGAAAUGCGUAGAUAUUGGGAAGAACACCGGUGGCGAAGGCGCCUUUCUGGACUGUGUCUGACGCUCAGAUGCGAAAGCCAGGGUAGCGAACGGGAUUAGAUACCCCGGUAGUCCUGGCCGUAAACGAUGGGUACUAGGUGUGGGAGGUAUCGACUCCUUCCGUGCCGGAGUUAACGCAAUAAGUACCCCG
Molecule: ribosomal RNA, 457 nt
Filed under: uncultured bacterium
Lineage: Bacteria
Description: bacterial SSU rRNA
Rfam family: Bacterial small subunit ribosomal RNA
Source: RNAcentral